Molecule: ribosomal RNA, 467 nt
Filed under: uncultured bacterium
Lineage: Bacteria
Description: partial 16S ribosomal RNA
Rfam family: Bacterial small subunit ribosomal RNA
Source: RNAcentral
GACGAACGCUGGCGGCGUGCUUAACACAUGCAAGUCGAACGGAAAGGCCCUGCUUUUGUGGGGUGCUCGAGUGGCGAACGGGUGAGUAACACGUGAGUAACCUGCCCUUGACUUUGGGAUAACUUCAGGAAACUGGGGCUAAUACCGGAUAGGAGCUCCUGCUGCAUGGUGGGGGUUGGAAAGUUUCGGCGGUUGGGGAUGGUCUCGCGGGUUAUCCGCUUGUUGGUGGGGUAGUGGCUUACCAAGGCUUUGACGGGUAGCCGGCCUGAGAGGGUGACCGGCCACAUUGGGACUGGGAUGCGGCCCAGACUCCUACGGGAGGCAGCAGUGGGAAAUAUUCCACAAUGGGCGGAAGCCUGAUGCAGCAACGCCGGGUGCGGGAUGACGGCCUUCGGGUUGUAAACCGCUUUCGCCUGUGACGAAGCGUGAGUGACGGUAAUGGGCAAAGAAGCACCGGCUAACUACGU